Molecule: ribosomal RNA, 497 nt
Filed under: uncultured bacterium
Lineage: Bacteria
Description: partial 16S ribosomal RNA
Rfam family: Bacterial small subunit ribosomal RNA
Source: RNAcentral
GGUGAACGCUGGCGGCGUGCCUAAUACAUGCAAGUCGAGCGAACGGACGAGAAGCUUGCUUCUCUGAUGUUAGCGGCGGACGGGUGAGUAACACGUGGAUAACCUACCUAUAAGACUGGGAUAACUUCGGGAAACCGGAGCUAAUACCGGAUAAUAUUUUGAACCGCAUGGUUCAAAAGUGAAAGACGGUCUUGCUGUCACUUAUAGAUGGAUCCGCGCUGCAUUAGCUGGUUGGUAAGGUAACGGCUUACCAAGGCAACGAUGCAUAGCCGACUUGAGAGGGUGAUCGGCCACACUGGAACUGAGACACGGUCCAGACUCCUACGGGAGGCAGCAGUAGGGAAUCUUCCGCAAUGGGCGAAAGCCUGACGGAGCAACGCCGCGUGAGUGAUGAAGGUCUUCGGAUCGUAAAACUCUGUUAUUAGGGAAGAACAUAUGUGUAAGUAACUGUGCACAUCUUGACGGUACCUAAUCAGAAAGCCACGGCUAACUACGUG